GGUCCAUUAGCUCAGUUGGUAGAGCACAUCACUUUUAAUGAUGUUGUCCCGCGUUCGAGUCGCGGAUGGAUCACCA
RNAcentral lists this transfer RNA (76 nucleotides) under Christensenellaceae bacterium. RNAcentral describes it as "tRNA-Lys". It matches the Rfam family "tRNA". From Rfam's summary of the family: Transfer RNA (tRNA) molecules are approximately 80 nucleotides in length. Their secondary structure includes four short double-helical elements and three loops (D, anti-codon, and T loops). Further hydrogen bonds mediate the characteristic L-shaped molecular structure. tRNAs have two regions of fundamental functional importance: the anti-codon, which is responsible for specific mRNA codon recognition, and the 3' end, to which the tRNAs corresponding amino acid is attached (by aminoacyl-tRNA synthetases). tRNAs cope with the degeneracy of the genetic code in two manners: having more than one tRNA (with a specific anti-codon) for a particular amino acid; and 'wobble' base-pairing, i.e. permitting non-standard base-pairing at the 3rd anti-codon position. The record is from RNAcentral. Lineage: Bacteria; Bacillati; Bacillota; Clostridia; Christensenellales; Christensenellaceae.